Molecule: ribosomal RNA, 597 nt
Filed under: Escherichia coli
Lineage: Bacteria; Pseudomonadati; Pseudomonadota; Gammaproteobacteria; Enterobacterales; Enterobacteriaceae
Description: partial 23S ribosomal RNA
Rfam family: Bacterial large subunit ribosomal RNA
Source: RNAcentral
UUUGACUGGGGCGGUCUCCUCCUAAAGAGUAACGGAGGAGCACGAAGGUUGGCUAAUCCUGGUCGGACAUCAGGAGGUUAGUGCAAUGGCAUAAGCCAGCUUGACUGCGAGCGUGACGGCGCGAGCAGGUGCGAAAGCAGGUCAUAGUGAUCCGGUGGUUCUGAAUGGAAGGGCCAUCGCUCAACGGAUAAAAGGUACUCCGGGGAUAACAGGCUGAUACCGCCCAAGAGUUCAUAUCGACGGCGGUGUUUGGCACCUCGAUGUCGGCUCAUCACAUCCUGGGGCUGAAGUAGGUCCCAAGGGUAUGGCUGUUCGCCAUUUAAAGUGGUACGCGAGCUGGGUUUAGAACGUCGUGAGACAGUUCGGUCCCUAUCUGCCGUGGGCGCUGGAGAACUGAGGGGGGCUGCUCCUAGUACGAGAGGACCGGAGUGGACGCAUCACUGGUGUUCGGGUUGUCAUGCCAAUGGCACUGCCCGGUAGCUAAAUGCGGAAGAGAUAAGUGCUGAAAGCAUCUAAGCACGAAACUUGCCCCGAGAUGAGUUCUCCCUGACUCCUUGAGAGUCCUGAAGGAACGUUGAAGACGACGACGUUGAUAGG